GGAGGAUCUCAGAGAAACUGUUCAAGAGUGUUAUGAAUUCGCAGCAGAGUAUGAGAGAAAGCGUGACCCUAAAAAGUUAGAGGAACUUGGGAAUGCUUUGACAAGUUUGGAUCCUGGGGAUUCUAUUGUUGUAGCAAAAUCUUUUUCCCAUAUGCUUAAUUUAGCUAAUUUAGCUGAGGAAGUUCAGAUUGCCUAUAGAAGGAG
RNAcentral lists this unclassified non-coding RNA (204 nucleotides) under Hevea brasiliensis (rubber tree). The record is from RNAcentral. Lineage: Eukaryota; Viridiplantae; Streptophyta; Magnoliopsida; Malpighiales; Euphorbiaceae.